GUUGUGGCGGCGGCGGUUGUUGUUGGUCGGCGCGCCGCUGCUGCUGCUUCCAAAGAGGCCGCGGCAGUAUUCAUAGUCGGGCGUCUCGGGAAAGGAGAGGGCGCGCGCAUAGGCCAGAAAGCGGGCAAAGCACGGCGGGAGGCCGGCGCAGAUGACGUCGACGCCCGUCUUGGCCUUGCAGUCGCGGAUGCGCGCGCAGCGCUUGGCCUUGUUGUGGCCCGGCACGCUGUCCCACGGCAGCGAGCCCUUGGCCAACUGGACCAGCGUGUAGGCCAGGGCUUCGAGAUCGUCCCUCCGACUUUGCACUGUGCCAUUGCGCCGCCGCAUUGAGAUUGUCAUUGUCGAUCGUCCCGUGCACCGCCCAAAAGAAGAAUGCACACACAAUCAAAAAAAAAAGAAAAAGAGAAUACACAGGGGGAGCGCGUGUCAGCAAGGCAACAACAACAACAGCAGACACGAUGAUGGCAUAAAAGAAUGGCUUGUCGGCAGCAAACCGUGCGAUUCGCCGUCACAAAAAAAACAAUGCCAACAAGAAUAAUAAAAAUAAUGGUGGUGACAACAAC
This 563-nucleotide long non-coding RNA is filed under the name Pandoravirus salinus. RNAcentral's name for it is "putative ncRNA". The record is from RNAcentral.